UAUGGCCAUAUCACAUUGAAACAUUGGUUCACAUAUGAUCAACAAAGUUAAGCGAUGGUGAUCCUGUUUGGUACCUAGAUGGGUGACCUCUAGGGAAUAUCUGGUGCUGU
This is a non-coding RNA of Acanthosepion pharaonis, 110 nucleotides long. Lineage: Eukaryota; Metazoa; Mollusca; Cephalopoda; Sepiida; Sepiidae. The record is from the annotation of a GenBank genome assembly.